This 1215-nucleotide long non-coding RNA is filed under the name Parus major (Great Tit). Its description in RNAcentral is "lncRNA (ENSPMJG00000008187.1)". The record is from RNAcentral. Lineage: Eukaryota; Metazoa; Chordata; Aves; Passeriformes; Paridae.
GUCAAAAUCAAAUGGACAAUGUUUUCUCCUGGAAAUGAACAAAAGUUAAUUGUUUCCAUCUUCUGUGUCCAGUGUAAUUUACCAGAUUAAAAAAUUGUCCUUGAUUUAAGCCCUGGACAAUGUGAAGUGCAGCCUGUAGGCUGAGCAGGAGAGCAUCUGUCUCUUGGGAGAGCUGGGCAGGAUGCAAAGUGCAAGUUGUACUCGGUGUACCUUCAACUGGGUGAGUUGUGCCAGCAGCAAACUCCCGGGACCUGGAACAGUGCAUGCAUUAACUGCUCCUGGAGCUGUGUGUAUAGUAACUUCAACUGUAGGAAGAAUCCAGAGGCAUGAAAUGAGACCAUUAACCUGCUGCCAAAGAACAACUGUCAUACAGCAUAUCAUCUGAGCUGACAUCCACGUCUCUUUCUUCUGUAAAAAACAUCUUGCCCUUAAGAAAAAAGUUUGAAAGUUGAGAACAAAGGACUGAACAAUGAGCUGAAUUUCAUCUUUAAACCUUUGAAAAGAGACAGGGCGACAGCCCAUCACUUUUCCUUCCUGCAAACCCUUGGUAUGGCAAUAACACCUCAUGACCUGGAAGAUUUUUUUCUCAUAGUGCUCAUGAAACCAGUGUGCCUUCCCAUUAAGAAUUGUCUUUCCCAUUAUUCACAGAAGUCAAACUUUAACUGUAAGGGAAAAUUACUAAAGAAUGUAUGUCAAGAGACAGAGGAGGAGUUAGUCUAGGUCACAAAGUGGAACAUGAAUGUACUUAUACAAGGGAAAGUUCAUCCAAAAUAGAUAAUGGAUUCACAAACUAUACAAGUCAUUUUCUGGAUUAUGUUUCUGUUUUCUCUUAAAAAGUUGUGCAAAAUCUGUAUAGAGACCAAUUAAUGUCCUUCUGCCUCUAAUGUGUCCUGUUUUGUUCUGAAAUAUUUAUGAAAUCUGCAGAAUUGGCUGUACAAAUUUGGUUCUUAACAUUAUAAGUCCUUUGGACAUGGCUAAUUUACAGACAUUUCAUUCACUAUCAUAGUUAGAUAUAAUUCCCUACCUUGAAGAUGUUACAAGCUGUGUCUCUUCAUGUCACCUAUUUCCUACAUGUGAUCUCAAGUACCAACCUGUACGACUGCUGGUGUCAGAGGGAAUAUUCUGUGUUCACAAGUCUCAUCAAAACUUUGUCUUCCUCCACAAUACUUUGGUAUGAAAAAUAAAUAUGUACUAGCCAGAAUAAAAGCUUCUUGC